GCCUGGGUGGCUCAGUCGGUUGAGCGUCUGACUCCGGCUCAGGUCAUGAUUCAGUUCGUGAGUUCGAGCCCCACGUCGGGCU
RNAcentral lists this transfer RNA (82 nucleotides) under Felis catus (domestic cat). It matches the Rfam family "tRNA". From Rfam's summary of the family: Transfer RNA (tRNA) molecules are approximately 80 nucleotides in length. Lineage: Eukaryota; Metazoa; Chordata; Mammalia; Carnivora; Felidae. The record is from Rfam by way of RNAcentral.